UGGGGAAUAUUGGACAAUGGGCGCAAGCCUGAUCCAGCCAUACCGCGUGUGUGAAGAAGGCCCUAGGGUUGUAAAGCACUUUCAGAGGGGAGGAAAGGUUAAUGGUUAAUACCCAUUAGCUGUGACGUUACCUUCAGAAGAAGCACCGGCUAACUCUGUGCCAGCAGCCGCGGUAAUACAGAGGGUGCGAGCGUUAAUCGGAAUUACUGGGCGUAAAGCGCGCGUAGGUGGUUUGUUAAGUCGGAUGUGAAAGCCCAGGGCUCAACCUUGGAAUUGCACCCGAUACUGGCAGGCUAGAGUACGAUAGAGGAGUGUGGAAUUUCCUGUGUAGCGGUGAAAUGCGUAGAUAUAGGAAGGAACAUCAGUGGCGAAGGCGACACUCUGGAUUGAUACUGACACUGAGGUGCGAAAGCGUGGGGAGCAAACAGG
RNAcentral lists this ribosomal RNA (429 nucleotides) under uncultured bacterium. RNAcentral's name for it is "bacterial SSU rRNA". It matches the Rfam family "Bacterial small subunit ribosomal RNA", at positions 355 to 776 of the family's 1533-position model. The record is from RNAcentral.